UUUAGAUUUAUUUAAAUUGUAUAACAACUACUGUAAAAAUAACAAUAAAUAAGGUACAGUUUCUAAUGAGUUGGUCAGAUUCAAUGGGCACAUUACAUAAAUAUUAUGCACUGUAAUAGGACUAUUCCUGGAACUUUUGAGUAUUAAAACAAUACAAAACCUGGAAACUGUAUUAUAAAAUAUACCAAAGUUGGUACAUGUAUAAAGAACUACAUUUCUAAAUGCAAAUAAUACAACACAUUUGAUUUUUAAUUGCAUGGAGAGCUUCAGUGUUCAAGCCGAUAAAAUUCACUGUUUAAUAUUCCUCUUAAAUUUCAAUCCUAACAUUAUGAGAAAUUAAAAACCAAUUGUUCAGAGAACAAUUGUAGGUCUUUCCACUAGUAAAGAUCUAUUUUGAUAUUGAAAUAUUAAAAAUCAGUUUAAAAUGUUAGUUCCUAUGGCUUUAUGAUGUAUUUAUAUGAAUUUAAAGCAAAGGUCAAAAUCUAGAACGUCAUAUCAACCUAUGACCUUGACCUCAAUUUCAAGUUCACAAACCAAGGACCUUAAAUCAAAAGACCCAAGGUCUUUAAUAUGUUUGGUUUAUUAGUAAUAUCACUUUACGCGUAAUUCUAAAUGUAAGAUGGGCAAAAACUCCCAUUUCUUGUCUGCGCACCCUUUCAAUCAAAAUAUACAAGUAAGGACAUGUCGCAACUAACAAUUUAUGAAAAAUUAUUUGUCGAUAUGUCAUAAGGUAUUUGAAAAUAAAUGAAAAUAAGCCAAAAUCAAAAUUUAAAAUAUGACCUUGACCUUUGACCUUGACCUCAUUUUUAUUAUUUUCGACCAAGGACCCCAAAUCUAAAGACCCUAUGUCUUUAUCACUUAUGGUUUACCAUUUAGAAAUGCAUAUCACUUAAUUAAAUGGAAAAGGGGGAAUAACUCUCAUAUGGAGUCUCCGUAAAGCUUCGGUCCAAAUGAAUAUCCUAAUCCUGAAGAUGUAACGAGCAAUUUGGUAAAAUAAAUUUGUCGUAAUCUUUAACGGUUGUGAAGGAGUAGUGGCCACAAGAAAAACAGUGUUUGGGGAGAUAACUCUUACAACGUAAAGUAUUUUGUUACACAGUUGUAAAGUUUUAAAGCGUAUAAACUAUACGAUACCAUAUUCCAAAUAUCUAAGCGACAUCUUUUGAAACAUCAAUAAUACGCAAGAAAAAAAAUUAGGCGGAAGAAAAAAAAAAAAAAAAUAAUAAUAAUAAUAAUAAUCAGAACAAAUUCAAUAGGUCUUUCCACGGAAAGGUGGAAAGACCUAAUAAGCUGGUCUUUCUGUUCACCAUUAUAAUGCAAACUAAAAAUGCAGUAAGUCAUUUAUCUUUAUCAUAACAAACUAAAUUAUUUUGAUGUCCUUAACUUCAAGAGUCAAUCACGAUUUUACUUAGUCUGUUACCACAACAAAAAGCAAACUUGUAACAGUAAAUCUCAACAAUCAUGAACUUAAGAAGCUAAAAAUGUAGAAAAGUAUGACUUAAA
This 1500-nucleotide long non-coding RNA is filed under the name Mytilus galloprovincialis (Mediterranean mussel). Lineage: Eukaryota; Metazoa; Mollusca; Bivalvia; Mytilida; Mytilidae. The record is from RNAcentral.